Molecule: RNA transcript, 1859 nt
Organism: Carassius auratus (goldfish)
Lineage: Eukaryota; Metazoa; Chordata; Actinopteri; Cypriniformes; Cyprinidae
Gene name: chemokine XC receptor 1-like
Exons: 4
Source: RefSeq, a predicted model, not a curated record
UGUGGUCAGCUGAUUCAUUGUGGUCCUCUGGUAUGUGUUUCGAUCUUAUUAGUCUUACAACAACAGAUGGUCCAGAAAAGAAUAAAAGACGGCAGUGAAGUUUGCUGAGACUAUUUUCCUUAAGCAGUUCUACAACACGGUCAACCGUGACCUUAAGAUGGAGUUCAACUCAAACAACACCUAUGAUAAUGACUCAGACGAGGGGUUAAUCCGAAUGUGUGAGGUCGAUAACUAUGAAAAAACGACCGGCGUGUGCUACGCCACAAUCUUCUGCCUCAGCAUGCUGGGAAAUGGCCUCCUCGUGUUUGCUCUCACCUGCUACGAAGACCUGAACAGGGCCACCAACCUUUUCAUGUUCUGUUUGGCUCUUUUCGACCUUCUGUUCACACUCACAUUGCCUUUCUGGUGCGUGGAGCUUCUUCAUCACUGGGUCUUUGGAGAUGUUGCCUGUAAGAUCAUGACCGGGGCCUAUUUCGUAGGCAUCUAUGGAAGCCUCAUCCUUCUCACCGCGAUGACCCUCGACCGUUUUGUUGUGGUAGUGGUCAGAAGUUACUGGUUUACACGGAGUCGAAGGCUCAAAUGUUCAAAGGCCGCCUGCAUUGGUGCAUGGAUCAUAAGUUUGAUUGCUUGUCUGAGAGAUUCAAUAGCCGCAAAGGCAGAAGAUGUACAUAUCAACAUAUACUCAUGUCAAAGUCCCAAUACAGUUAAUGACAAUGUCGGAUAUUACGCUCAGCUCAUUCUGCUGUUUCUUGUACCGUUUGCCAUCAUUGUUUUCUGUUACACCAAAAUAAUUUUGACCCUCAUGUCAACAUCGACCAGGCAGAAAUACAAAACUGUGAUUCUGGUGCUGUGCAUUGUUAUCGCUUUCUUCAUAUGCUGGGGGCCGUAUCAUAUCAUCAUUGUGUUGAUGUCCAUCUAUGGCUUUGAUCCCUGUGAACAUUAUCAGCUGCAUAUUGCAUUUAUCAUCUGCAGGAUUCUGGCGUUUUCCCACUGCUGCAUAAACCCGGCGCUGUAUAUUCUCAGAGGGAAGUACAGAAAUCUCUUGUCAAGUUUAUUGUUCUGCUCGCCUGAACUCAGGCAGUCGGGGCUCGACAGAGGACCAACAGAUCCCAGCGACUCCAGGAUUCAUCCGUACAUGAAUGAAGGAGCUCGAGAAAAUUGUGAAGUGCAACAAACAAAUGUCAGUGAGCUGAACAUACUGAAAACACUGUAAAAAUUGAGACCGUAAACAUGAUGAAUUUAUGUAGUCCUAGAAAAACAUUUUAAUUGGAACAGUCAGUUACAUUCUAUUUUUAGAAAAUCUUGUUUCCCACCUAAAAGUAUAUUGAUGAUAUUUUAUAUAUAUCACGAAUAUUUGUAAUUUUUUAAUUCAUGUAACAACAAAAAAGGUGUGUGUGUGUGUGUGUGUAUACUGUAUAUAUAUAUAUAAAUAUAUAUAAAUGUAUAUAUGGGACUGUAAAAAUUUCAAGCAAAACUUCAGCUUUCCUGAUUAUUACUGCAUUCUGUAUUAUUAGUAUUAGUAUUAGAAUUUAUAUUGGAAAAUUGUAUUUCUAUUUUGUUUAAUGAUUUUAAGAUGAAUGUAUCUGUUAAACGAAAAUGUGUGUUAACAUGUUUUAUGUAAAUAUGUGGGCUGGACAUUUAUGUUACUGAAAGCAGACAGAUUCUUCAGUGUCUCUAGGGGAGACAACACUGAUAAUUGAAGAAACAAACCGCCAGAUCAACCAAGACGAUAUAAUGCAUGGAGAUACUACGCAGGAGGUCUUCAAUAUCAGUUAUGAUUAUGACUUCAACCACAUAUAUGAGGAAUAUUAUCCUUUGGUGACAUUUGAGGAGGAGAAUCUUUCACUUAGGAUAAUGAG